This is a long non-coding RNA of Fundulus heteroclitus (mummichog), 577 nucleotides long. RefSeq lists it as uncharacterized. The transcript is spliced from 2 exons. The record is from RefSeq and is a predicted model, not a curated record. Lineage: Eukaryota; Metazoa; Chordata; Actinopteri; Cyprinodontiformes; Fundulidae.
GGGUAGAAGGCACGGAGGUCAUUGCCAAAGCCUGUGGAUAUUUCAGCUCACAAGAACUCAGCAUCAAACUUGAGAAAACACAUUGCAGUUGUGUGCUCCCAGUGGGUGAGGGAGGUUCCACUCAAGCCCUGGAUUAUUCUACACCUGGCAAAGUGGAGUCUACAGAUAGCACCUGUAUGCCUGCUGUAACUGAAUCAUGCUCACAUGUUGUUACUGGAUUUAAGGAUUGAGGACGGUCAAACUAGCAUCUGCACAUGACAUUGGCCUUACUCCUCUAAAGUUGUCAAAAUCUUCUGCACAGCUAAAACUUUUAACCCGUCUGUGAAAUGUGUGUUGUUGUUUUUUUGGCAUCUUUUCUAUCUUAACAUUUAUCAGGGUUUGCACAUAACAUAACUUCCUUACCUCCUUAAAAGAGAUAUUGAUCUAUUUUUGCAAAUUAUGUUUUUCUCUGGUAUCUAAUUUGCAGUGUUUAUCUGUAUACACAGUCUUUUGUUGUUGGCACCUUCUUUUGACAGUUAAUGACACUUUCGCAGUGGCAUUGCACUGCACAGGAAUUGUAAUAAAGACUUUAAAACAA